UGUGUGGAGCAUUCUGGUUCUCCUGCACAGGUACAGAGCUUGGGGUGCACUUUUAUAGGAAAUUAAUCAACGUUGGUGCAGUAACAGGAACUCUGCUUCAUCACACCACCGUGUCGUUGAUUAUUUUACCACAACAGCAACAAACCACAGUGUUUAUUUAUCCUGUACAUGCUGCAGUGAUUCAGCAACAAAAAAUCAACUGUACACAAUUUUUUAAGGAGGCGGGGAUCAGGGGGCGGAGUCAUGCUACACUGCACUGAGGAAAAAGACGAUCCAAGAUUGCAGCUUCCAGAAUGUUCCAGUGUUCACCUACAGCUAGUCGCAGCUCUUCCCACACCGGUGCUGCUGCUGUCGUCUCCUACAGUAGCUCUGUCCUGAGAGAAAGAUCGAGGUUAGAUCACAUCUCAUGUCGAGUCAGAACGUCGCUGUGCUACAUUCAAAUCCCAAGACAGCACCAACAAUAGAGCACGGCGGUGGAACUGGCGUUAGCACCAGUAUCGUUUUCCACCUCUGGGAUGCGUUCUGAAAGCCAUCCUUUUGACUUUGACACGUCCUCCGAGUCGGCGUACAAAUGGAUGAGGACGGCUGUGAAACCUGCAGCGUUCCUCCGACAAUGAAGAACUUUUAAUUUGUCUCUGUUAAACCCUGCCUUUAGACCCAUUGUAACAUGGAGUUCUCAAAGUUCCCGGGCUUGUAAAAGAAUCCGGUGGAUGGCCAGCGAAGCUUGAUAGCCAUGGUUACAGGUUAAUACAGAUCACAAACGGGGCGGAGCUUGCUAUUGCGUCCUUUGUUGGACAGAUAACAAAGAUGCAUCUGGCUUUACUCCUGCACCUUUUGUCCCGUUCAGUUACACCAUUAACAUCACUGAGCUGCAGCUGGGACGCUCCAACACCGAGUCUGACCUUUGACCUCACUCUGAACUGCUUCGGUACCGUGGUUAAAGGAGCGGAGGUUGGGCUUUGAGUCUGAAACCAAUGCUUUAUUUAUUUAUUUAUAAUUCUAAAUCACAAA
Long non-coding RNA from Neoarius graeffei (lesser salmon catfish), 1011 nucleotides. RefSeq lists it as uncharacterized. Lineage: Eukaryota; Metazoa; Chordata; Actinopteri; Siluriformes; Ariidae. The record is from RefSeq and is a predicted model, not a curated record. The transcript has 3 exons.